This 432-nucleotide ribosomal RNA is filed under the name uncultured bacterium. RNAcentral's name for it is "partial 16S ribosomal RNA". It matches the Rfam family "Bacterial small subunit ribosomal RNA", at positions 29 to 507 of the family's 1533-position model. The record is from RNAcentral.
ACGAACGCUGGCGGCAUGCCUAACACAUGCAAGUCGAACGAGACCUUCGGGUCUAGUGGCGCACGGGUGCGUCACGCGUGGGAACCUGCCCUUAGGUUCGGAAUAACUCCCCGAAAGGGGUGCUAAUACCGGAUAAUGUCUUCGGACCAAAGAUUUAUCGCCUUUGGAUGGGCCCGCGUUGGAUUAGCUAGUUGGUAGGGUAAAAGCCUACCAAGGCGACGAUCCAUAGCUGGUCUGAGAGGAUGAUCAACCACACUGGGACUGAGACACGGCCCAGACUCCUACGGGAGGCAGCAGUGGGGAAUAUUGGACAAUGGGCGAAAGCCUGAUCCAGCAAUGCCGCGUGAGUGAUGAAGGCCUUAGGGUUGUAAAGCUCUUUUACCCGGGAUGAUAAUGACAGUACCGGGAGAAUAAGCUCCGGCUAACUCCGUG